This 510-nucleotide ribosomal RNA is filed under the name Triticum aestivum (bread wheat). RNAcentral describes it as "partial small subunit ribosomal RNA". Lineage: Eukaryota; Viridiplantae; Streptophyta; Magnoliopsida; Poales; Poaceae. The record is from RNAcentral.
AUGGAAAAUUGCUUUGCUAAUAAGCAAGCCACCGGGAAUUAUGCAAUGGCCACUGGUGUGCCAUUGGGAACGCCUAUUGUUGUGGAAGACAAAGAUAAACCCAAUGUUAUGGAGGGGCAUGGAACAACUGAUGAGGUAUUGCAACACCUUCCUGGGUCUAACUCUGCACUUCCAACUGCUAGUGCCACUCAGGACCCUUCACCUACUUCAAAUAAGAAGAGAAAGAGGGCAUCAGGUUUGACUGAGGAGGACACAAUCCAGUGCAGUAACAUGACUGAUGCUAUCCGUGAGAUUGCAAGUGCUAUCAACAACACUUGCCAUGCUGAAACACACCCUGACUUGUACAAGGCUGUCAUGGACCUUAUUAUGUUUGAGCAAAAUGAUCGCUUGGCUGUUCUAGAUUAUCUCACAGAACAUAAGGCAAAAGGCCUCAACUUUGUGAAGAUGAAUGAUGAAGCCCGUCAAGCAUCGUUCAAACGUAUCUUGAAAGCCAAUCCUGAUCUUCUUUGA